CUUUCUAAAGACGUUGAGGGGUACACUUCAGGGGUAAUACGCUACACCCGGCGGCACACCAGCUGUUUGGCGCCUCACUGCUGUGUGCCCAAAUGUAGUCCUGCGUCCUCAAAGAGAAACAAAUCCUACCGUGGACAGACUUUCCACCGUUUCGCCAAAGAGCAGGCACUUCGGCGUGAAUGAAUUUAUCACAUCAAGAGGGACCCUGGUCCAUAUUUCAAGAUCAACGCUGAGACCGAGGUUUGAUCUGAGCACGUUGAGAAGCAAUGCUUUGUUAAGGUCACCCGUGGUAUGACAACGCUAAUAAAGGAUGCUGUGCCUGCCAACUUUGUUCGCCUGGACUUCAGAGAAGCCAAAGAGGAGAAUCAUCAUUCGCAUACCGUGUAUGGAUUCCAUGGAGUAUUCCAUCGAGUAUUUCUUCUGUUUCAAUCGUCUCGGUGAAGUUUUUGAGCUGGAUCUGGAUUCUGCUGAGGAUUCGUCGACUACUAGAUGGCGAGCCACCCACUCAUUCGAAUGUGAUCCUGUUCUACAUUGCGCAUGGCAUAUUUGGUAGGAUUGUGGCCUGCUCGUGUCACAUCACUGACUAUGACUGACUUCAACGCCUUGAACUGAACUGCUUGAAAGGAGCUAUUUUUCUUUUUGAACAACUUGAAAGGAACUCUCUUCAUCGUCUCUUUUGAGGAUUUAAAGGGCUAUUUCCAAUUUUUGAAGGACAAUUCAAUUUUUUUUUUUUUUUAAAUGU
This is a long non-coding RNA of Engraulis encrasicolus (European anchovy), 742 nucleotides long. RefSeq lists it as uncharacterized. The record is from RefSeq and is a predicted model, not a curated record. Lineage: Eukaryota; Metazoa; Chordata; Actinopteri; Clupeiformes; Engraulidae. The transcript is spliced from 4 exons.